AGAGUUUGAUCAUGGCUCAGAUUGAACGCUGGCGGCAUGCUUACACAUGCAAGUCGAGCGGCAGCGCGGGGGCGAACCCUGGCGGCGAGCGGCGGACGGGUGAGUAAUGCAUCGGAACGUAUCCCGUAGUGGGGGACAACCCAGCGAAAGCUGGGCUAAUACCGCAUAUGCUCUACGGAGGAAAGCAGGGGACUCGCAAGAGCCUUGUGCUAUGGGAGCGGCCGAUGUCCGAUUAGCUAGUUGGUGGGGUAAAGGCUUACCAAGGCGACGAUCGGUAGCUGGUCUGAGAGGAUGAUCAGCCACACUGGGACUGAGACACGGCCCAGACUCCUACGGGAGGCAGCAGUGGGGAAUUUUGGACAAUGGGGCAACCCUGAUCCAGCCAUGCCGCGUGCGGGAAGAAGGCCUUCGGGUUGUAAACCGCUUUUGGUCGGGAAGAAAAGGUUCUCCCUAAUACGGGGGACUGUUGACGGUACCGGCAGAAUAAGCACCGGCUAACUACGUG
RNAcentral lists this ribosomal RNA (505 nucleotides) under uncultured bacterium. RNAcentral describes it as "bacterial SSU rRNA". It matches the Rfam family "Bacterial small subunit ribosomal RNA", at positions 8 to 507 of the family's 1533-position model. The record is from RNAcentral.